Molecule: non-coding RNA, 1491 nt
Organism: Prunus avium (sweet cherry)
Lineage: Eukaryota; Viridiplantae; Streptophyta; Magnoliopsida; Rosales; Rosaceae
Source: RefSeq, a predicted model, not a curated record
CUCAGAAAAUACACAACAUUACUUUGACCCAUCCACAAGUGUGAUGAGACAGUUGUUAUCAAUUAAAUACCUUUGGCCAAAAAUCUUGUGCAUUAACCCCUUUCUCACUGAGAAUUUGGAAACUCUGUUUCAGUCACUCUGUGUCUCUCAAUGGCUGUGGACAAAGACAAGCUUGAAGAAGACGCUUCCAUUGCCCGCUUCUACAAGAUUGUUCUUAGUUGGGACUUUUUCGUCCGCGAAAAAUCAACAUAGGAGACGCCACGGAAAGGUGUGUUGUGGAGUGCACUGAAGUUGAUCUGUUUCACUUAGCAGUUCUUACCUCUGCGAAUGACAUGGAUGACAAGAAAUCAGUAUCGCAAGAAUGAUAUUUUGCUUCUUUCAAAACAAAGUAUGAAAAGGAAACUCCAAGUCCAACAAUCUAUGCUUUUGCGGUGGUAGAAAGUCGUCAACUAAGUGGUUUUUGGAUUAGAAUGUAUCUGGAGAAGUUACAAAUUCGAAUCCAUAUGCAGUUAAAUCACGUUUAAGGCUGUUAAACAUGAAGUAUUUGGUAACUUCUAGUAGUGAACGAGACAGGUUCUUUUACACUUAUAAGAGAGCAAGUAGAACGCCUGAAACAACGUUUCAGAAGUACUUACGGUGUGGAGUUUGAGAAAUUAGUGGAGAGUACUACUGUUGAUGGUUGCCAGGUAGGGUGGCUAAUUCUUCUCUUGGUUUUCGGGUGGGUUCUAUUGGUUAAUAUACUAGAUUGACAUUUAUUUUCUGUUUAUAAUUGGCUAAUUCCGAGAUCAAUUUGGCUAAUUCUUCUCAUGGUUUUCGGGGUGAUCAAAAUAUUUCUUUUAUGCUUGGGCAGCUUCCGAGAUCAAUUUGUUCGGUGGAAUGUAAUCAUGUAAUAUGCAUCUAUUUGUCCAGACGUAGAAUAUCUCAUCUGGGUUGUUGAGAUGCAGGAUAUCUCAUUUGGAUUCAAUCCUCUUUCUAUAGAUAACGACGAAGCCCACUAGCAAGCAUGAUUAUGUACAGGAGGCUGACAGAAGAAUAUAUCAUUUAAAACUUCAUAAAAGAUGACGACAUUAUUUCAAUAUCAAUAAUGUAUAGAUGACGACAAACACCCGCAGGAGCCGGCCCUUUUGCCCGAGUGGGUCCCUCGCCAAUAAAAGACAUACAUAGGCUUGACUUGAUGUCAGUUUCCACCCCUGCUCUGCAUUAUGAGACGCUUGGGUCAUUCAGCUUGGACCAAGAUAAUUAUAAAGUCAAGUGUGUGUUUAUCGUAGGAUAAGCUUUUGAGGUAUUAUUGUAUCAAGUAUUUGAACACAUCAACACUAAUAGAGAGAAUUGGGCUUUUAGGAUUUAUUUAUUUAUGUAUUAGUGUAAUCCCAAGUUUAAAUGUUAGGUCGAGUCACUGCUUUUAUAUACACAUCUAAAAUUAUUCUCUCAUCGAGAUGUUACUCUUUAUAGAUAUUAAUUUGCUAGUUUCAACAUAUCCAAAGUAGAUAU